This 301-nucleotide ribosomal RNA is filed under the name uncultured bacterium. RNAcentral's name for it is "partial 16S ribosomal RNA". It matches the Rfam family "Bacterial small subunit ribosomal RNA", at positions 509 to 807 of the family's 1533-position model. The record is from RNAcentral.
CAGUAGCCACGGGAAUACGUAGGUGGCAAGCGUUGUCCGGAUUUAUUGGGCGUAAAGCGAGCGCAGGCGGUUUCUUAAGUCUGAUGUGAAAGCCCCCGGCUCAACCGGGGAGGGUCAUUGGAAACUGGGAAACUUGAGUGCAGAAGAGGAGAGUGGAAUUCCAUGUGUAGCGGUGAAAUGCGUAGAUAUAUGGAGGAACACCAGUGGCGAAGGCGGCUCUCUGGUCUGUAACUGACGCUGAGGCUCGAAAGCGUGGGGAGCAAACAGGAUUAGAUACCCCGGUAGUCCCUGUCUCUUAUAC